CGCAAGCCUGACGGAGCAAGACCGCGUGAGGGAAGAAGGUCUGUGGAUUGUAAACCUCUUUUGACAGGGAAGAAAAAUGACGGUACCUGUCGAAUCAGCCUCGGCUAACUCCGUGCCAGCAGCCGCGGUAUUACGGAGGAGGCAAGCGUUAGCCGGAAUGAUUGGGCGUAAAGCGUCCGUGGGGGGUUUUACAAGUCUUUUGUCAAAGAGCGGAGCUUAACUCCGAUAGGGCGAAGGAAACGGGGAGAAUAGGGAUUGGUAGGGGUAGAGGGAAUUCCUGGGGUAGCGGUGAAAGGCGUAGAUAUCAGGAAGAACACCGGUGGCGAAAGCGCUCUGCUGGGCCGUAACUGACACUCAUGGACGAAAGCUAGGGGAGCG
RNAcentral lists this ribosomal RNA (378 nucleotides) under uncultured Arthrospira sp. Its description in RNAcentral is "bacterial SSU rRNA". It matches the Rfam family "Bacterial small subunit ribosomal RNA", at positions 376 to 770 of the family's 1533-position model. Lineage: Bacteria; Bacillati; Cyanobacteriota; Cyanophyceae; Oscillatoriales; Microcoleaceae. The record is from RNAcentral.